UCUGCCCUGGGAUGUUUGCCAACCGACAAAGUCCUUGAGCCGAUAAAUGUGUAACCGGCAGUACCUCGUUGUGUUCGGUGUGCAUGUCCGCCUGACGGAAAGCCUAAAGAACCACAGGUAUCGCCACCUUGAGCCGUUGGGUUCAAGGCCCGCUUGGUAGCGGCAUUUCCGGGGCAUCU
This 179-nucleotide non-coding RNA is filed under the name Cellvibrio sp. PSBB006. RNAcentral describes it as "6S / SsrS RNA". It matches the Rfam family "6S / SsrS RNA". Rfam says of the family: E. coli 6S RNA was the first non coding RNA to be sequenced, but its function was unknown until recently. It consists of 184 nucleotides that fold into an extended hairpin structure with a large single-stranded internal bulge. Lineage: Bacteria; Pseudomonadati; Pseudomonadota; Gammaproteobacteria; Cellvibrionales; Cellvibrionaceae. The record is from Rfam by way of RNAcentral.